This 565-nucleotide ribosomal RNA is filed under the name uncultured Alphaproteobacteria bacterium. RNAcentral's name for it is "bacterial SSU rRNA". It matches the Rfam family "Bacterial small subunit ribosomal RNA", at positions 235 to 817 of the family's 1533-position model. The record is from RNAcentral. Lineage: Bacteria; Pseudomonadati; Pseudomonadota; Alphaproteobacteria.
GUCCUAUCAGCUUGUUGGUGGGGUAAUGGCCUACCAAGUCUACGAUCUUUAGCUGGUUUUAGAGGAUGAUCAGCAACACUGGGACUGAGACACGGCCCAGACUCCUACGGGAGGCAGCAGUGGGGAAUCUUGGACAAUGGGCGCAAGCCUGAUCCAGCCAUGCCGCGUGUGUGAUGAAGGCCUUAGGGUCGUAAAGCACUUUCGCUAGAGAUGAUAAUGACAGUAUCUAGUAAAGAAGUCCCGGCUAACUCCGUGCCAGCAGCCGCGGUAAUACGGAGGGGACUAGCGUUGUUCGGAAUUACUGGGCGUAAAGCGUACGUAGGCGGAUCAGAAAGUAUGGGGUGAAAUCCCAGGGCUCAACCCUGGAACUGCCUCAUAAACUCCUGGUCUAGAGUUCGAGAGAGGUGAGUGGAAUUCCGAGUGUAGAGGUGAAAUUCGUAGAUAUUCGGAGGAACACCAGUGGCGAAGGCGGCUCACUGGCUCGAUACUGACGCUGAGGUACGAAAGUGUGGGGAGCAAACAGGAUUAGAUACCCUGGUAGUCCACACCGUAAACGAUGAAUGCC